Molecule: RNA transcript, 2781 nt
Organism: Quercus robur (English oak)
Lineage: Eukaryota; Viridiplantae; Streptophyta; Magnoliopsida; Fagales; Fagaceae
Gene name: probable receptor-like protein kinase At5g24010
Exons: 2
Source: RefSeq, a predicted model, not a curated record
CUCCUACACCUCUAAUAUCAUGUGUGUGUUCAAUACAAAUUAUUUCCAUCCACCAUUAGUUUCCUCCAUAUAUGCUGAUAAGGUUCUCCUCAAGCCUAGUCUCUCACUGAACUAACUAAAAAGCUGCAAUUCCUUCCAUGGAAAAGUUUCAUAUUUUCCCUCUCUUCCUUCUAUAUUUCCUUUCUCUUCUACUUUUCUCAUCAGCUUACACCCCUCGAAAUAAGUACUUCAUCAACUGUGGAUCAAAGACCAACGUUACAGUCAAUGGUAGGAACUUCGUCGGUGACUCGAAUUCAAGCUCACUUUCGUUCUUUGUUGGACCAAGCUCUACUGUAAGUGACACCAACUCAUCAACAAAUAACUCUCUUUAUCAAACUGCGAGAAUAUUCACAAAUUCAUCUUUGUAUGAGUUUGAUAUCAUUGACAAGGGCAACUACUAUCUACGUAUCCAUUUCUUUCCUUUCGUGUCUGGUAGGACUAAUCUGGCUGAUGCUCUAUUUGAUGUUUCGGCUUCUGAUUUUUAUCUGCUAUCAAAUUUUGCUCUUCAAAACAAUAGUAACUCACCAGUGAUUGAGGAAUUCUUACUUACUAUCAAUGGAAGCAAGUUCAGCAUCCACUUCACUCCUCAUAAGAACUCCUUUGCUUUCGUUAGCGCCGUAGAAGUCUUUCUUGCCCCACCAAACUUCACUACUUAUGGUUUCCCUCAUGUUACUCCUAUGGGGGAAAACGGUAGUUACUAUGGUGUAGCAUCUCAGGUUUUUCAUACAAUUCACAGGGUCAAUGUUGGAGGUCCAAAGACUAAUGACACACUGUGGAGGAAUUGGAUACCUGAUGAUGAGUAUCUACUUUCUGCAGGAUCUGCAAAAACAUGUGCUACUUAUAAUGGUACGCUUCUCUAUGAUAAUCCUGGAGGAACUAAUUAUAGUGCCCCGGAUCUUGUCUACAAGACUUGCAAAGAAUUGAAUCCCACUGACAACAUGGGAUCAAAUUCUUCUAACAUAAGUUGGCAAUUUGGUGUGAGUAAGAGAUCCAGGCAUAUGGUUAGGCUUCACUUUUGUGAUAUCAUUGGCAAAGACCCUUAUUUACUCAAGUUCAAUCUCUAUAUUUAUAGCAAUUUCAGUCAGAAGAUAAAUCCUUACGAUGAAACUGAUAAGGUGGCAGCUCCAUUUUACUGUGACUUUGUGGUUGAUUCAGAUGAUUCAGGAUAUAUGAACAUGAGUGUCGGGCCUAGGGAAGAUUCUAUAACUAAAACUGCCUAUCUAAAUGGGGUGGAGAUAAUGGAAUUUAUUAAAGAAUCAGACUUUGUCCAUAUUCCAGGCGAUCAAAAGAAACUAAUUUUUGUUGUGGUAGGUACAGUUUGUGGUGUGACCUUCGUUUUCAUUUUGGCACUGCUGUUCUUGUUAAAACGCAUGAGAGCAAAGCAUGUGGAUGGGGUGGGUUCAAAGCCAGAGGUUCAUCUUGGAAAAGGAUCGACGAAUGCCUCCCUCGUUCGUAAUUUAAAUUUGAAGUUGAAGAUGCCUCUUCUUGAAGUACAAGGUGCUACUCAUAACUUUGAUUCCAAACGGUUGGUAGGUGAGGGUGGAUUUGGGAAAGUUUAUGAAGGAAGUCUUCAGAAUGGCAUGAAAGUGGCUGUGAAGCGAAGUGAUUCAAAGCAUGGCCAGGGCCUUCCAGAAUUCACAACAGAAAUCUUGGUUUUAUCCAGAAUUCGCCAUCGCCAUCUUGUUUCCUUGAUUGGAUAUUGUGAUGAAGGGCCUGAGAUGAUACUGGUGUGUGAAUUUAUGGAAAAGGGAAGCCUGAGAGAACAUUUGUAUGAUUCCAAUGAGAACUCUUCUCAGAGAUCAGCUAAAAGGCCCACAUUGACCUGGAAGCAAAGGCUUGAGAUUUGUAUUGGUGCAGCAAAAGGCCUUCAUUACCUUCACACUUGCUUACAUGGGGGAAUCAUCCACCGUGAUGUUAAGUCAACAAACAUAUUGUUGAAUGAACAUUAUGUUGCAAAAGUUGCAGAUUUUGGCCUUUCAAGAUCCGGUCCUGAUGAUCCAGAACAUUUCAGUGUUGGCAUAAAAGGUAGCUUUGGUUAUGUGGAUCCUGAAUAUUUUAGGUCCUUUCAGUUCACAGACAAGUCUGAUGUCUACUCCUUUGGUGUAGUACUUCUUGAAGUGCUUUGUGCCAGACCUGCUAUUCUUGACUCACCGAAGAGGGAGGAGGUGAACUUAGCUGAAUGGGGGAUGUUAUGGCAAAAGAAAGGAGGACAACUUGAAAAGAUUAUGGACCCGCUUUUAGUGGGAGACAUUAACCCUGAUUCAUUGAGAAAAUUUGGUGAAACAGCUGUGGGAUGUUUGAAGGAAAAUGGAGCUGAAAGGCCUACUAUGCUUGAUGUGCUGUGGGACUUGGAAUAUGCAUUGCAGCUUCAAAAAACUGCAGUGCAAGGAGUACCACAUGGGGACAGCACAACAAAUGCGAUUUUGGGAUUGCAUUUGACUCAAAAUUUGGGUUUGCUUCCUGAUAUCUUCCUUGAUGAGGGAGGUGUUGAAUGUAAUGAAGAGCCCUUAAGAGGGGAUAAUGGUUCGGAUGUAAGUGGAGUUUUCUCUCAAAUAGAGAUUGAUGGUGCAAGAUGAUCGAAAGUUGCUUUGUGUUGAGGUCCAGAAAGUAUCUCUUGUAACAGGUGUACCAAGUUACCCAUGUAACAAUCAAUGAAUAAACGUCGUGUAAUUCAAUUUUAUACUCUAUUAUCAAAGUUGGUCCCAAUAAUUUUUCACAUAUUAUUCACUCAUUGAGUUGUCA